GGGCGAACUGUCUCAUUGAAGGGGCAACCGUCCAUACAAGAGGACUGCGUGUAUAGCUAGUAGGUGAGGUAACGGCUCCCUAGGCGACGAACAUAGCCGACCUGAGAGGUGAUCGGCCACACUGGGAUGAACACGGCCCAGACUCCUACGGGAGGCAGCAGUAGGGAAUCUUCGGCAAUGGGGGCAACCCUGACCGAGCAACGCCGCGUGAGUGAAGAAGGUUUUCGGAUCGUAAAGCUCUGUUGUAAGUCAAGAACGAGUGUGAGAGUGGAAAGUUCACACUGUGACGGUAGCUUACCAGAAAGGGACGGCUAACUACGUGCCAGCAGCCGCGGUAAUACGUAGGUCCCGAGCGUUGUCCGGAUUUAUUGGGCGUAAAGCGAGCGCAGGCGGUUUGAUAAGUCUGAAGUUAAAGGCUGUGGCUCAACCAUAGUUCGCUUUGGAAACUGUCAAACUUGAGUGCAGAAGGGGAGAGUGGAAUUCCAUGUGUAGCGGUGAAAUGCGUAGAUAUAUGGAGGAACACCGGUGGCGAAAGCGGCUCUCUGGUCUGUAACUGACGCUGAGGCUCGAAAGCGUGGGGAGCGAACAGGAUUAGAUACCCUGGUAGUCCGCGCCGUAAACGAUGAGUGCUAGGUGUUGGAUCCUUUCCGGGAUUCAGUGC
Molecule: ribosomal RNA, 661 nt
Filed under: uncultured bacterium
Lineage: Bacteria
Description: bacterial SSU rRNA
Rfam family: Bacterial small subunit ribosomal RNA
Source: RNAcentral